GUCCACGCCGUAAACGAUGGGCACUAGGUGUUCGGGUAUUGACCCCGAGUGCCGCAGCUAACGCAUUAAGUGCCCGCCUGGGGACUACGGCCGCAAGGUUAAACUCAAAGGAAUUGACGGGCCCGCACAAGCGGUGGAGCAUGUGGUUCAAUUCGACGCAACGCGAAGAACCUUACCUGGGCUAGACAACGUCGGACAACCCUGGAAACAGGGCCUUCCCGCAAGGGACCGGCGGUUCAGGUGCUGCAUGGCUGUCGU
Molecule: ribosomal RNA, 258 nt
Filed under: uncultured bacterium
Lineage: Bacteria
Description: partial 16S ribosomal RNA
Rfam family: Bacterial small subunit ribosomal RNA
Source: RNAcentral